This 549-nucleotide ribosomal RNA is filed under the name Thelotrema lepadinum. RNAcentral's name for it is "eukaryotic LSU rRNA". The stretch from base 178 to 329 matches the Rfam family "5.8S ribosomal RNA". Lineage: Eukaryota; Fungi; Ascomycota; Lecanoromycetes; Ostropales; Graphidaceae. The record is from RNAcentral.
GAGGAUCAUUCACGAGAAUGGGUCUUGUACCCAAAUCUCCCAACCCUUUGCAAACUUCAAAUUCUUGUUUGGCAAGCCGAGUGCUUCGCUCCACCGGCUUCGGUUGGUGCGUGCUUGCCAAAGUUUUUCAAAUUCAAUUUUGAAAUGUCUGAAAUCAAUACAAAACAAAUAGCCUAAAACUUUCAACAACGGAUCUCUUGGUUCUGGCGUCGAUGAAGAACGCAGCGAAAUGCGAAAAGUAAUGUGAAUUGCAGAUCAGUGAAUCAUCGAAUCUUUGAACGCACAUUGCACCAUCUGGUAUUCCGGAUGGUAUGCUUGUUCGAGCGUCGCAAUCAAUCAAACGAAUUGAAUUUUGUUUGGAUUUAGAGUCCUGUCNAAUCUCGACAACUCCGAAAAUUAUGGGCGGUGUGAUUAGAAUGCCUAGCGCGAUAGCUUUUUUCUUCNCUAGAAGUGUUCGGUUGUGCCUGCCUUGAAAACCUCUAUCCAAUAAUUCGACCUCGGAUCAAGUAGGGAUACCCGCUGAACUUAAGCAUAUCAAUAAGCGGAGGA